CAAUAGAUCACAGUUCGUGUGCAUUAAUGUUUCUAUUUGUCAAUGUUAGACAUUAUGAAGAAAAUAAUCUUCUUGAAGUGGAAAGGAAAGCAUUUUAAGCGUCUCCAUCAUCAGGGUUCAGAGGAGGGGCUCCAGGAUGUCACAAACCCCCCAUUUCCAUCUCAUCCUGCUGUUCAACAGCCAACUUCAACUGAAAGUCUGGAGGAUGUUGUGUUUGUUGAUGAGCAGAUGUGUGCCUGGAAAAAGCCGGAGUAUGUUCAGCCGGUUCCUUAUGAUGAGCACAGGUACAGAGCCCAACAGCAUGGGGGCCAGUACGGGGGCCACUGUAAAAGUGGCCCUACGGUAUUUAAUGAUGUCAGGCAUGGGGCACCAAACAUUGAGGACCAUACAGUCAACACCGUCUUGCAGAAAGCGGAUUAUUACCCCCAACAAAAUCCUGGCCCCUCAACCAUCCCUUCCAUUCCAGCUGUGGUACACCAUGUUGAGCUCCCAACCUUUACCCCCCCACCCAGUAAUGAGGUGAUCGUGACAAAGGAGCCAUACAUUAAAAAGCCCCCCAACGCCUUCAUGCUCUUCCUGAAACAGAACAGGGCAGCUGCGGAGGCAGAGCUGGGC
This 615-nucleotide long non-coding RNA is filed under the name Gouania willdenowi (blunt-snouted clingfish). RNAcentral describes it as "lncRNA (ENSGWIG00000003521.1)". The record is from RNAcentral. Lineage: Eukaryota; Metazoa; Chordata; Actinopteri; Blenniiformes; Gobiesocidae.